Molecule: ribosomal RNA, 300 nt
Filed under: uncultured Corynebacterium sp.
Lineage: Bacteria; Bacillati; Actinomycetota; Actinomycetes; Mycobacteriales; Corynebacteriaceae
Description: bacterial SSU rRNA
Rfam family: Bacterial small subunit ribosomal RNA
Source: RNAcentral
GUCUAACUCUGGUCCAGCAGCCGCGUGAAUACAGAGACGGCAAGCGUUAGUCGGAUUCACUGGGCGGAAAGGGUGCGCAGGAGGCCAAGUGUGUGAGGCGUGAAAGCCCGGGGCUUAACCCCGGAAUUGCACCUCAAACUACAUGGCUAGAGCAUUGGAGAGGGUAGCAGAAUUCACGGUGUAGCAGUGAAAUGCGUAGAUAUCGUGAGGAAUACCAGAGGCGAAGGCGGCUACCUGGACAAUUGCUGACGCUCAGGCACGAAAGCGUGGGGAGCAAAAGGGAUUAGAACCCGUGUAGUC